RNAcentral lists this ribosomal RNA (253 nucleotides) under uncultured bacterium. Its description in RNAcentral is "partial 16S ribosomal RNA". It matches the Rfam family "Bacterial small subunit ribosomal RNA", at positions 524 to 776 of the family's 1533-position model. The record is from RNAcentral.
UACAGAGGUGGCAAGCGUUGUUCGGAAUUACUGGGCGUAAAGGGCGCGUAGGCGGCCUUGUAAGUCCUGUGUGAAAUCCCCCGGCUCAACUGGGGAACUGCACAGGAGACUGCUUGGCUUGAGUUCGGGAGAGGGAAGCGGAAUUCCGGGUGUAGCGGUGAAAUGCGUAGAUAUCCGGAGGAACACCGGUGGCGAAGGCGGCUUCCUGGACCGACACUGACGCUGAGGCGCGAAAGCCAGGGGAGUAAACGGG